UUGAUCUCAUUAGUCCAGAAAUCUCCGGUGGCUGGGUUGAGGAAGUCGGGGAAGUAGGUCUUCCCCGGCCAGACCUGCCCUUCGUAAGGCACGCCAUCGCGCUUGAUGUAGAUGUCGGCUUUCAAUCCUCUCUGAGGAAGCAUUCUUGAAUGGAAUUUAUAUAUGUUUACCGGGAUCAACAAUGACGACAUAUUUCUGACCGUUUUUAUGGAGUUGAUCGACGAAUUUAUUCAUUUCAUCUUCAGGAAAGUUAAGUGGAUCGAGAGUGAAAUCUUUGUAUUUAUCCAUGUAAUCAAUGUCGGUCCACAUCGUUUCUAAUGGAAUGCUAGCGUUUGCAUAGCCAGCCACCACGCCUUCCACGUCAUGAACAUCUUUGUAGCCAUAUCUACAUUGGUGAAACCCUACAAAACACAGUUCAAAACAAAAAACUCAUACCUUAAUCAGAAAAACAUGAAACUGAAGUGAAGCAUGCUAACCGAAAGACCAGUAUGGCAUGGGGGCAGGGCGGCCGAUGAGAUGGGUGUACUGUUCCAUCACCAGCUCCGGAGUCGGCCCGGCAAAGAAAUACAGAUCAAGAAUCCCUCCGAUCACCUUGUACGUGAUCCGGUCACCGGAGUAGACGACAUCCAUGCCAUUACUAUUGAGCAGCAAAACGCCGUGAGUGAUCCCAUUAGGCCUCACAUCCAUGUAAAAGGGGUGCGAUCCAUACAAAUUGAGAUCGGUGUUCAAGCUGCCGAUGUCGGCGUUCCAGAGCGUCAGCGUCUGGCCGGGCUGGAGCUUGAAGGAGCCCUUCGUGUGCUCUCCUAUGCCGUACAGAUUGGAGGCAUUGUUGGUCGGAAGAGACGACGAGAGCUGCAGGUAUUGGUCCGUGAAGACGAGGUACGUCCAGGAGUUGUUGUUGCUCGGCGUGGCGUUGAAGAGGGCGUCACCGGAGACGCCUCUGCGGCCCACAGCGAAGCCGAAAGGGGUGGUGUUUUGGAGGGUGAAGGUGAGAUCGGAGCUGGGGUCGGAGAGCAGCGGCGCAUGCGGUGUUGAGUGGUUGUCGGGGCGGUGCGGCCGCGGGAGGAUGUCGUCGGGGACUUCCCAACGGGUGGCGUUGGCGUCGGUUAUCGUCACUCGGAGACGGUCUUUCGUUUCCAAGCUGCAAAGUGCAUGAGUGGAAUUCUUCAUACAUAAUUAUUCAUAAUUCUUCAUACAUUUUUUUUUAGAGGCAGCAUCCUACUAUAGCCAAAACUUUUUAGUUAUAGGAAAUUCUAGUCAUAUAAAUAAAAAUAUAAAAAUAAUACUCCUUUUAGUG
This is a long non-coding RNA of Salvia miltiorrhiza (redroot sage), 1297 nucleotides long. RefSeq lists it as uncharacterized. The record is from RefSeq and is a predicted model, not a curated record. The transcript has 2 exons. Lineage: Eukaryota; Viridiplantae; Streptophyta; Magnoliopsida; Lamiales; Lamiaceae.